GCUGUAGCUCAGGGUUAGAGCAUCUGUUUUCCGUGCAGAAGGUCCCAGGUUCAGUUCCCAAUAGCUCCA
Non-coding RNA from Podarcis lilfordi (Lilford's wall lizard), 69 nucleotides. The record is from the annotation of a GenBank genome assembly. NCBI's taxonomy places the organism in Eukaryota, Metazoa, Chordata, Lepidosauria, Squamata, Lacertidae.